RNAcentral lists this ribosomal RNA (250 nucleotides) under uncultured bacterium. Its description in RNAcentral is "partial 16S ribosomal RNA". It matches the Rfam family "Bacterial small subunit ribosomal RNA", at positions 524 to 773 of the family's 1533-position model. The record is from RNAcentral.
UACGAAGGGGGCUAGCGUUGCUCGGAAUUACUGGGCGUAAAGGGCGCGUAGGCGGACAGUUAAGUCGGGGGUGAAAGCCCGGGGCUCAACCUCGGAAUUGCCUUCGAUACUGGCUGUCUUGAGUGUGAGAGAGGUGUGUGGAACUCCGAGUGUAGAGGUGAAAUUCGUAGAUAUUCGGAAGAACACCAGUGGCGAAGGCGACACACUGGCUCACUACUGACGCUGAGGCGCGAAAGCGUGGGGAGCAAAC